AAGCUCGUAGUUGAAUUUCGGGGUUAGUAGGUUGGUCAUGCCUCCGGUAUGUACUGGUCUCACUGAUUCCUCCUUCCUGAUGAACCGUAAUGCCAUUAAUUUGGUGUUGCGGGGAAUUUGGACUGUUACUCUGAAAAAAUUAGAGUGUUUAAAGCAAGCUAACGCUUGAAUACAUUAGCAUGGAAUAAUGAAAUAGGACGUUCGAUCCUAUUUUGUUGGUUUCUAGGAUUGACGUAAUGAUUAAUAGGGAUAGUUGGG
RNAcentral lists this ribosomal RNA (258 nucleotides) under uncultured Glomus. RNAcentral describes it as "partial 18S ribosomal RNA". It matches the Rfam family "Eukaryotic small subunit ribosomal RNA", at positions 624 to 886 of the family's 1831-position model. Lineage: Eukaryota; Fungi; Glomeromycota; Glomeromycetes; Glomerales; Glomeraceae. The record is from RNAcentral.